AAACUAACAAGGAUUCCCCUAGUAACUGCGAGUGAAGCGGGAAAAGCUCAAAUUUAAAAUCUGGCGGCUUUGGUCGUCCGAGUUGUAUUCUAGAGAAGUGUUUUCCGCGUUGGACCGUGUAUAAGUCUCUUGGAAUAGAGCGUCAUAGAGGGUGAGAAUCCCGUCUUUGACACGGACUACCAAUGCUUUGUGAUACACUCUCAAAGAGUCGAGUUGUUUGGGAAUGCAGCUCAAAAUGGGUGGUAAAUUCCAUCUAAAGCUAAAUAUUGGCGAGAGACCGAUAGCGAACAAGUACCGUGAGGGAAAGAUGAAAAGCACUUUGGAAAGAGAGUUAAACAGUACGUGAAAUUGCUGAAAGGGAAACGCUUGAAGUCAGUCGCGUUAGCUAGAACUCAACCAGGCUUGCUUGGUGUAUUUUCUAGUUAACGGGCCAGCAUCAGUUUUGACCGCAGGAAAAGGGCCAGGGAAAUGUGGCAUCUUCGGAUGUGUUAUAGUCUCUGGUCGUAUACUGUGAUUGGGACUGAGGACCGCAGCACGCGCAAGCUGUGCUUAGGAUGCUGGCGUAAUGGCUUUAAACGACC
RNAcentral lists this ribosomal RNA (581 nucleotides) under Irpex lacteus. RNAcentral describes it as "LSU rRNA". It matches the Rfam family "Eukaryotic large subunit ribosomal RNA", at positions 62 to 649 of the family's 3401-position model. The record is from RNAcentral. Lineage: Eukaryota; Fungi; Basidiomycota; Agaricomycetes; Polyporales; Irpicaceae.